Long non-coding RNA from Sinocyclocheilus grahami, 858 nucleotides. The record is from Ensembl. Lineage: Eukaryota; Metazoa; Chordata; Actinopteri; Cypriniformes; Cyprinidae.
GCGAAGAGCGCGACACUUCACACUCUCACUCCAACCGACUUCAACACAACAACACAAAAAUAAUGUCUAUUGGCCGGAAAAACUGGUCUGCUUUGUCAACGCUGGCUCGACAGUGGACUGUGGAGGAUGAGGAAGAGGUGGAGAGAGAGAAGAGGAGGAAGACAAGGGAGUCUACGGCAGACACGGAUGAAAGUCCCAUUGAAGAGAACAAACCACAAACCAGUAGUGUUACCGAGCCUGCUGAUGCUGGCGACUCCGGUGGCGGUCUGGCCCAGCUGCAGCUGGAUUUUGUGGAGAUGUUGCGAGUCCGUGACGAACGGCGGAGGAUGAGGCACGUUGAAACCCUGAGGAAGAAUAAGGAGGAAGAUGAUGAUGGCAGAGAGGGUAGCCCGGAUAAGGUGCCCCAUGUGGAGCUGCUGGGGGAACAGCAGGACGAGGAGCUCUUCAAGAGCGUGCAGCGCUGCGUGGAGACCUUCAUGUCACCAGAACCUCCCGCCAACUCCAGAGACUCAGAGACACAGGAGAAGAACGAAAAUGGAGGCCCGAACCAAGAUUCAACAAACUCCCAAACUCCCCCGAAAGCAUCCCGAAAGUUUGUGAGCUCUCUCUCCGUCUCCUUUGAUAAGAGUCCCACAUCACCCUCAGCAACCAGCAGACUGGUUUCUCCUCUGAGCCACAAGUCUCCACCCCCUCAGUCUCCGAGGGCGGAGUCACCACACAGCCCCGCCCACUCCGGGUCUAUGAGCCCCACACCGAAUGGAGACACAGCGACACAUGAAAAUGGGUCACCGAGCAAUUUCGAACCAGCUGCGAAACCUGCGUUCACACGGCAGAGCUCCAGAACGGUGUCCUUCAGGG